ACGUCGAAAAAAAUCGCGACGACGCGCGUGUAGUUGCGACACUCGAAUUGUUUAAAAGACAAAUAUUGGCGGAAUUAACACUAAAGAAAACUCAAAACAUUUGGAUGCAAGUUAGAUGCAAUUCUGGCAUCUUCUUUAACAUGGCUUUACUUCCAUAUCCUUCGUGACCCUUGGUUUUUCAAUCGCUGUGCAUAGUGCAUACUAUACCUUGAGCCGUGUCUUUGUUUCGACGUGAUAAAAAGAUAAACAAAUAAAUCAGUAUCAGCAGGUACGUGUAAUGAAACUCUUUGGAGCAUUAUUUGUUUAAUUGACAUAUUGCUUAGAUUGUUUAUAAUCAAGUUGAUAUGACAUACUGCUCAAGAAUGUCAUGACUCGUCAGGAAUUAGUUUUAGUCGUAACAGUUUCAGCAGUUUUUUCAUGUGUUGCAACAGUUUACGGCAAAACGCGGAAACCAAAAUGGCCCUAAUUGAGCAUCAUGGAAAUUUCAAAUAAACCACAUAAAAAGUCACAAUAAAUUCAAAACCGAAUAAAAAAAUGGCCUAGAACAUUCUUAAUCAACAAUACCUUGCAAAGAAACCUGAAGCUAUGAACAAUUGAAGCAAAAUUUUAGUGAAAAUUCAAUCAUAUUAAUUCUUCAAAAUGAAACCUGGUAUUAAACCGAGCCAUCUUUGGGGCUUUUGGAGCAGAAAAGAAUUUGAGACAUUCCUAAAAGGUCGGCUGUCCUUAAAAGGCGCAUUUCAAAGAGAACAGAAACAUAUGCUGCAAACCACCUUUCUGGCGCUUUCGAUUGCAAUGAUAAUGAAGUAUUCGUUUGGGCUGUUCCGACCUGAGAAGGACAUCCAAAGAUACCUAAGGGAAAGGUCAUGCGAUAUUUCGUGCUAUGAAGAAGUUGAACAAGAGAAGGUGGAUAAAUCUAAAUACACAGACGGCCCAUGUGCAGACGAAUACCCUUAGAUUUCCAAUAAAUGAAAUAAAAGCCGCUA
Long non-coding RNA from Leptidea sinapis, 983 nucleotides. RefSeq lists it as uncharacterized. Lineage: Eukaryota; Metazoa; Arthropoda; Insecta; Lepidoptera; Pieridae. The transcript has 2 exons. The record is from RefSeq and is a predicted model, not a curated record.